Leersia perrieri is the source of this 125-nucleotide microRNA precursor. NCBI's taxonomy places the organism in Eukaryota, Viridiplantae, Streptophyta, Magnoliopsida, Poales, Poaceae. The record is from Rfam.
GUGAUAAGAGUGACUCAGACUAGCCAAGGAGACUGCCCAUGAACCAAUUCAAAGGCUCAUUUUCUGAUCCUUUACACAAGGACACAGGCAAGUCAUCCUUGGCUACCAGAGCUACACCCUUAUCA